Molecule: ribozyme, 116 nt
Filed under: Aedes aegypti (yellow fever mosquito)
Lineage: Eukaryota; Metazoa; Arthropoda; Insecta; Diptera; Culicidae
Description: drz-agam-1 ribozyme
Rfam family: drz-agam-1 ribozyme
Source: Rfam by way of RNAcentral
UGCCCAGCAACUCGUAUCCCUACCACCUCGUGGUACUGACCGAGGUACGAGUAACCUUAGGGAAGAUCUGGUAACCAACCCCGGUGGGAACUUUGGUCGUAUGCUGAUAGGGAAAG